GGCUCUGUGGCGCAAUGGAUAGCGCGUUGGACUUCUAGACAGCGAGUGGUAAUUCAAAGGUUGUGGGUUCGAGUCCCACCAGAGUCG
Molecule: non-coding RNA, 87 nt
Organism: Ataeniobius toweri
Lineage: Eukaryota; Metazoa; Chordata; Actinopteri; Cyprinodontiformes; Goodeidae
Source: the annotation of a GenBank genome assembly